This is a transfer RNA of 90 nucleotides. It matches the Rfam family "tRNA". Rfam says of the family: Transfer RNA (tRNA) molecules are approximately 80 nucleotides in length. Their secondary structure includes four short double-helical elements and three loops (D, anti-codon, and T loops). Further hydrogen bonds mediate the characteristic L-shaped molecular structure. tRNAs have two regions of fundamental functional importance: the anti-codon, which is responsible for specific mRNA codon recognition, and the 3' end, to which the tRNAs corresponding amino acid is attached (by aminoacyl-tRNA synthetases). tRNAs cope with the degeneracy of the genetic code in two manners: having more than one tRNA (with a specific anti-codon) for a particular amino acid; and 'wobble' base-pairing, i.e. permitting non-standard base-pairing at the 3rd anti-codon position. The record is from Rfam.
GGAAGAGUAAGCCAAGUAGGUCUACUGGUCGCUGUCUUGAAAACAGUUGGGGUUUAAAAGCCCGUGUGGGUUCGAGCCCCACUUCUUCCG